Molecule: transfer RNA, 57 nt
Filed under: Bos taurus (domestic cattle)
Lineage: Eukaryota; Metazoa; Chordata; Mammalia; Artiodactyla; Bovidae
Also listed under: 5 other names
Rfam family: tRNA
About the family: Transfer RNA (tRNA) molecules are approximately 80 nucleotides in length.
Source: Rfam by way of RNAcentral
UGGCUCAGAUGGUAAAGUGUCUGUCUGCAAUGCAGAAGACCCAGGUUCGAUCCCUGG